AUAAUCAUCAUCUUUGAAAAUUUUCUUCCUUUUAAUGAUUUUUUUCAGAAUUAAUCUAUCUUAUACUGUAAAAGAAAAUUAUUACUAACAACUUUUCACCUUUGCUAUAUAUAUUUCGACAAGUUUAGUUAUUUUCUAUUUUAGACGUGUGUUGCUGUCGAGAAUCUGAUUUUAUAUAUAGUGGUAAUUUUUAUGAUAUUUUAUUUUUCUAAUCUCG
RNAcentral lists this long non-coding RNA (217 nucleotides) under Ananas comosus (pineapple). Its description in RNAcentral is "long non-coding RNA (ACOM_LNC021890)". Lineage: Eukaryota; Viridiplantae; Streptophyta; Magnoliopsida; Poales; Bromeliaceae. The record is from RNAcentral.